CGCCCGCUCAGAAACUCAAAUGAUGACGGGGCCCGCACAAGCGGAGGAACAUGUGGUUUAAUUCGAUGAUACGCGACGGAACCUUACCCGGGCUUGAAAUGCAUCUGACCGGCCUUGAAAGAGGUUUUCCCUUCGGGGCAGAUGUGUAGGUGCUGCAUGGUUGUCGUCAGCUCGUGCCGUGAGGUGUCGGCUUAAGUGCCAUAACGAGCGCAACCCUCAUCAUUAGUUACCAUCAGGUAAGGCUGGGGACUCUAAUGAGACUGCCAUCGUAAGAUGUGAGGAAGGUGGGGAUGACGUCAAAUCAGCACGGCCCUUACGUCCGGGGCGACACACGUGUUACAAUGGGUGGUACAAAGGGCAGCUACCUGGCGACAGGAUGCUAAUCUCCAAAACCACUCUCAGUUCGGAUCGGAGUCUGCAACUCGACUCCGUGAAGCUGGAUUCGCUAGUAAUCGCGCAUCAGCCAUGGCGCGGUGAAUACGUUCCCGGGCCUU
RNAcentral lists this ribosomal RNA (494 nucleotides) under uncultured Proteiniphilum sp. RNAcentral describes it as "bacterial SSU rRNA". It matches the Rfam family "Bacterial small subunit ribosomal RNA", at positions 887 to 1382 of the family's 1533-position model. The record is from RNAcentral. Lineage: Bacteria; Pseudomonadati; Bacteroidota; Bacteroidia; Bacteroidales; Dysgonomonadaceae.